AUCCYGUGAGCAUGAAAUGCCCCAUACUUCAAGAUUGCUGGGACUACAUGGAUGCUGGACCCCAUGCCCUGUGGUGGACAUUCCAUCUAAGUCUGACUACAAUACCUCUCCCUGAGAAGUUGCCUGGAACACUUGGACCCUCAGCCCCCAACACAGAUCUCAUAAAAGAACCAGGAGCCAGAGGGUUCUCACUCUAACCCCUACAAAACCUGAG
Molecule: long non-coding RNA, 214 nt
Organism: Urocitellus parryii (Arctic ground squirrel)
Lineage: Eukaryota; Metazoa; Chordata; Mammalia; Rodentia; Sciuridae
Source: RefSeq, a predicted model, not a curated record